GGAUCCCUGACCCACUGAGUGAGGCUGGAGAUUGAACCUGCUGAGCCACAAUGGGAGCUCUUGGUAUUUUUUUAUUUUUUAAUUAAAAAAAAUUUUAAGAUUGUUAUCCCCUCUCCACCCUCCUUUUUUUGGCUGCACCCUUGGCAUGCAGACAUUCCCAGGUCAGGGAUUGAACCCACACCACAGCAGCAACACUAGGUGCUUAACCCACUGAGCCACAUGGGAACUCCUAUAGAUGGUUUUUAUUAUAUCAACUUACAAAUAAUGAAAAUGAAGCUCAGAGGUUAUAUUAAUUUCCCAAACUUCUGAAGCUGGCAAGAUACACAGGUAAUUGUGUCUUUUUAAGAUGUUAAAAAGAUUGUGUUCCAUGCUGUGCAAUAUUAUGCAGCUGUUUAAAAUAAUAUUUAUAAAGAGCUUUGAUAUAAACUUAAGUAAAAAAAAGAAUGUGAAAUAGUUAUGAUUUAAAAUAUGUUAGUAAAAAUGCAAAGGAAAAGUACCAGGAGGGAUUUAUUACCCAUUAUUAACAGAGUUAUUCUGAGUGAUGGGGUUUGAGUGAUUGCUUUCUGGUCUUUGAUGAUCUUCCUAUACGUCUCAAUUUUUUUUUUUCUGCAAGCUUGCAUUAUUUGUACAGGGGAGAAACGUUUAAAAUGUCAACUAGAUGUGGCUGUGCCUUUUCCUUCUUUUUUCGUCUAAAAGCAGUCUGGAGGUUAUAGUAAAGAGUCGUGCUGCCACCCGUGAGGGAGAUGUGUGGGUUGCUGAAUCCAUAUUCUUAACCAUUACUGAGCUAACUAACCAAGGCUCAUGCCCUAAGGAUGGUAGAUUGUCCAGGAUGUGGAGUUAGUUCCUUGUUCACCCUUGCCAACCAUUAAAGGUUGUACGUCUAUACUUUCUGUGUAUGUGUGUGUCUGCAGCUAUGGUCUGUGUGUACAUAGAGAUAGAUUAUCUAUAGAUAAUAUAUAUCAUAACAUACAAUGUGCAUAGUGUAUACACAUAUACAUACUGUAUAUAUACUAUGUAUGUAUAUUGUCAUUUUUGGUAACUUGUUGAGUGCUUAAUAUGUAUCAGGCAAUGCACUAAACUCUCUUUGAAAUCACCAGUGCCACUGUCUGACCUCACUGACUUUUCAAAAUCUUUUUAAAGUCUCUUUCUUUGUUCUUUUUUCUUUCCUUCCUUCCUCCCUCUGUCUUUGUUUCUUUCUUUCUUUCUCCUGUCUGCCUGCCUUUCAUUCAACCAGUAAAAUUCUCUCAUACCAAAACUUCUACUCACAAAUUGUAUCACUGGGCUAAGACAUGACUUGAGAAAAUUCUGUCAGAUAAAGGGCUCUUUAAAGGAAAAAAAAAAAAAAACAAACCACUGACUAAAAUAAGAAUUAGAAGAGAAAUGUCCUGUGAACGUGAUCUGUCGGAUUUCAGCACCAUCACAAAAAUAUAUUAUUUAAGUAGGAUCCCUUUUUUUCCCCUGCUUUUCCCCAGUAAAAUUAUCAUAGCCUUUCACGGAGCACUUCAGAGGCCGUUAACUUCUCCCUCAUUUACACACAGCUUCUCUCUCAUUCCGUCGUAUUUUGCAUCACUUAACCCAGUGGAGUGUUUUCAGACAAAGGCUGUCUCAAAGCUGGGGCCCACUUUGUGACUCUGUGGCAUUCAUGGUCAGUAUUGUUUUUGAGGACCAUCUGCCUGUCAUUUGUUUGCUGAUUGAGUUAGUGCACCUAAUAAUAUUUUUUUUAUUGGGCUGUGCUAGCCAAUGAAAAGGAAAUUAUACACUCAACAGAUGGGUCACAAACCUUUCUGCCUUAGUGCAGCUCCUCCUUGAGUUAGUUAAAAGCCGUCAUGAAAGCAGAUUAUAAAUGGAAUAAUAGCCUUUUUAGAAAUGGUUUUCGCCGUGGAUACUAGUUGUGGUGCCAAGCAUAAUGGCAUUAGGGUGUCCCCUCUUUGUUGGACGGAUUCUCCCCGUAAGAACCGUCUGAGCAAGAGGGAUGCGGAAGCAAUGAGAAGAAACCAGCUGGGCAUCAUGAGGACCAGAGUCAGGAGACCAUAUAUGUAGGAGUAGCUGGCAUCACAUUAGCUCCACGUCACUUGUGUGAUUGGGAGACGAAAUGCAGCGUGUGCCCCAAGAAGGGCUGGGUGGUCCCCCUCUACCUUUAUCUGGAGGGCUGAGAAGGCAGAGGCAGCAAAAUCUAUCACAAAAGAAACCCCAAAUAGCCUUACUUUAUGCAGGUAGAAAAAUGGAGAAACUGAGGGUCCUGGCCAUCAUGGAAAUGAACAGCAAACCCAGACAAAUCUCCUUGGCUUGACAAUGGUCCCCUCAGACAUUUGCUCCCUCCUAAAACCCAUAACUUCCUGUCCUUUGAAACUGUUCCUCAGGACCCUAUGUCAAGAAAAUUCACUUUGUCUUAAAGAGGACAUGACUUCCAUGGCCAGGAUGCUAAGUCAACUGAAGGCAGGUUCAAAGAGCAUGAGAACAAAUCUCCUCUGGAAAAAUCCUGAUGCAAAGGAUUAUUCUAUUUGCCUCUAAACAAUGAAGUUGCAUCUCCCACUGGGAACAUAAACUACAGAGACAGACUUUUCAGUGUUGCAGGGGUAGACUUCAUCCUUGAACUCCUAUAAUACGUGAGACGGUAGGUAUUAUAAAGACUUGGCUUAUUCUCCAGUAGAAACAAAAAGAUUCUGCUUUCACGAGUCAAAAAUACAAAACAAACAAACAAAAACUGGACAGCACAGUAACUGCUUUGUGAAUCAUGCUUCUAACUGUGUAUAUGAAUUAUCAGCUCAUUAUUUUUCCCCCUAUGGUCUUUGGCCCUUGCCUCAUCUAACUUCAAACCUCCAGUGAAUUCUCAGCAGUAUACUUGCUUUGAUUUUGGUAUAAGGACGCCAUAUGCAUUGCCGAGGGUGGUGGGCUGGAAGCAAUUGCAGUGCACAUAUGGAUGGGGGGAGAUUUGGGGCAGAUGGGCUCACUGGGCCCAUGAACAGGAAGAAGGAAGACCAGGUGUUGCUAAGAACCUUCCAUCAUUCAAAAUCAAUGGGCUUUUACAUUUUUCCAAUGGAUGAACAUCAACCCAAUAUUUUGAUACUACUCCCUAUGUCUAGCAUUCUGAAGCUGUAAGUGAUUUUCCAGAGCUUGUCUGGUACUGAAGCUUUUCAGAGAUUUUCUUUCUUCCUUGAGGGAUGCUGAGGAAUUCUGGGAAGAGAGCCCUGCGAUGGGCAACCUGGGAGGUGGAGAAGGAGUGAGUGGUGAGGGUCGGUUUCCUGUGAUUCUCAGCCAUUCUCAUUCUCUGCAUCAGAGAGGUCCCAGUGUAAGCCGAUGCUUUCCUGGAUGCACUGUCACUGGAAGAGGUACAGCCCCUGACAUUAACCCCAGGAGGGUCCCUCCUGCCUUCUGUAUAUUGUCCUGCAACCCACAGGUGCUUGAAUUCUCAUACCGGAGGUUGGUCCUCUAGUCAGUUUUGUCUUGUGUUGAAAUGCAUUGUUCUGGGAGUUCUUUCACCUGUAACCUCUUCACUCCUUUGUGCUUAGAUGUGAAUGACUUUGAGACAUGCUUUUGAAUUUUAUGAGGGGCAGGUACGACUUCAGGAGAGCCUGGAAGCUUAAGAAAAUGGGAGCUAGCCCUAGGAAGGGGAGUGAGCAAUGGCCUAGGAAUGAGAGGAUGCUGACCGAGCAGCCAACUUUAAAGAUGUUCUCCCCUUCUCCUCAGGACCUAAAAGGGACUUUAAAUCCAGUUCGUCUUUGGGACCCAUUGGCAGGUUAGUCCAAAGGAACAUUUCGACUAUGAUUACUUAAAAUCCCCAAGGCUUUCUGGAUGCAGUUAGGACUUUCUUCUUUCUUCUUUCCUCUGACGUCUUUACACUGGCAGGGACUCAGGGACAGAGGUGUCCAGAAAGACAACCAAACAUGGCAAAUGCCCCACCCUUUCUGGUUUCUCCCCCACAUGCCCCAUGGGCAGCAGGAUCCCGCCUGCUGCCUCCCCUCAGAGAUGCUCAGCAGGACCCCACUGUGCGCCACUGCAUCACAAGUCGGGAACCUGCUUCCCUCUCCAUCUCCCUCCCAGCUCUCCUUUUCAGCUGGAUGUUGCAAGGAUUUAAUUCUGAGCAGGAUUUAAAUAAAAUCAGAAUCCGUCUGUGCCGGAGGAGAUGUGCUUGCUCGGAAAUGGAAUUCGUCAUCUGGGUCAUUUGCUCGUUAGCUCCACAUCCUGCCAGUGCUGGGACCCAAGGAAAAGACACGCUAACCCUAUUUCGUACCAUUCCUGCACUUUCCAGGGUGAGACGCCGGGGAACUGUCUCAGCUCCUCUCUCCUCCCCAAAUUCGAUUCCUGACUUCAGUGCUUUUUGAUCUUGAAACAUCUCCACACUUUAGGGGGAAAAGUGUUUCAAGCUUACAUAAAAAUUAACAAUGGCCCCUGUUUUAGGCAGGGCAUUUUUGCUUGUAAGGAACCAUGUUCCACAUACAAAAGCUUAAGGAAAGGGAGGAUUUAUUAAAAGGAUCUCAGGGAAUGUUCCCGAUGCCACAGCAGGGCUCAGGAGAGGUGGAGACCAUCAGGCAGCCUGUCGUCUUCUGCCUCUCUCUGCCACGUCAGUUCUCCUUUCAUCUCUGCAAACCUUCCCCUUGCCGUCUCAUACUCUUCUUUCCCAUGAUUUACGGUAUGCAUUACCUUGGCUUUUUUUUUUUUUUAAACCCACACAUUCUGACGCACCCUGACUCUGUCCUUGACUCAGCUUAGUGUCUGGUUUCUGUCAGGUACUUAGUACCUACCUUUGGACUAAGUGAAGAAAUGAACAAAGGAAGGAGUGACUCUGCUGGGCCUUUCAGUGUAAAGGCCCAUCAUUGCCUAACUAGGUUUUGAGUGGCACAGUUCAGAAUCCGACCAGAGAGGAUCUGAGGUGUUCCGUUUGUCACAUAAGAUAGGGGUUCACUCCUGGUCCAAUUAUCUAUGGCCAAGAAGCAUGAUUACUUAGUACAAACAUGACUGCUCGCCGGGACCAUGGAUGAAACCAUUUCCCAAAAAAGGACGGCAGGUUCUGCAAAUGUGUUUCCUGGAGCCACCAAACCAGCAUUCUUUCCUGAAAACUGUGCCCAGUGGUGUCUGUGUUUACUCAAAACGUGGCAGUCUCUUGGAGUUCCCGUCGUGGGGCAGUGGAAACGAAUCUAACUAGGAACCAUGAAGUUCGAUCUCUGGCCUUGCUCAGUGGGUUAAGCAUCUGGCAUUGCUGUGAGCUGUGGUGGAGGUUGCAGACACAGCUCGGAUCUGGCGGUGCUGUGGUUGUGGCGUGGGCUGGCAGCUGUAGUUCCAAUUCAACCCCUAGCCUGGAAACCUCCAUAUGCCACGAGUAUGGCCCUAAAAAGCAAAAAAAAAAAAAAA
Molecule: long non-coding RNA, 5349 nt
Filed under: Sus scrofa (pig)
Lineage: Eukaryota; Metazoa; Chordata; Mammalia; Artiodactyla; Suidae
Description: lncRNA (ENSSSCG00015038653.1)
Source: RNAcentral